RNAcentral lists this ribosomal RNA (423 nucleotides) under uncultured bacterium. Its description in RNAcentral is "bacterial SSU rRNA". It matches the Rfam family "Bacterial small subunit ribosomal RNA", at positions 506 to 927 of the family's 1533-position model. The record is from RNAcentral.
UGCCAGCAGCCGCGGUAAUACGUAGGGGGCAAGCGUUGUCCGGAUUUAUUGGGCGUAAAGAGCGUGUAGGCGGCCAGGUAGGUGGGUUGUGAAAACUGGAGGCUCAACCUUCAGACGUCGACCCAAACCCCCUGGCUAGAGUCCGGAAGAGGAGAGUGGAAUUCCUGGUGUAGCGGUGAAAUGCGCAGAUAUCAGGAAGAACACCCGUGGCGAAGGCGGCUCUCUGGGACGGUACUGACGCUGAGACGCGAAAGCGUGGGGAGCGAACAGGAUUAGAUACCCUGGUAGUCCACGCCGUAAACGAUGGGUGCUAGGUGUGGGGGGUGUCGACUCCCUCCGUGCCGAAGCUAACGCAUUAAGCACCCCGCCUGGGGAGUACGGCCGCAAGGCUAAAACUCAAAGGAAUUGACGGGGGCCCGCACA